Molecule: unclassified non-coding RNA, 261 nt
Filed under: Xylaria sp.
Lineage: Eukaryota; Fungi; Ascomycota; Sordariomycetes; Xylariales; Xylariaceae
Description: partial internal transcribed spacer region
Rfam family: Eukaryotic small subunit ribosomal RNA (bases 1-46)
Source: RNAcentral
AAGUCGUAACAAGGUCUCCGUUGGUGAACCAGCGGAGGGAUCAUUAUAGAGUUAUCAUAACUCCAAACCCAUGUGAACAUACCUAUUGUUGCCUCGGCAGGUCGUAGACUGCUGGGAAAGGGUCUUUCCCCUAGCUCGGGAGGCCCUACCCAGGAGCCGCGGGUAAGCCUGCCGAUGGCCCGUAAAACUCUGUUUAGCACUGAAAUUCUGAAUCAUAACUAAAUAAGUUAAAAACUUUCAACAACGGAUCUCUUGGUUCUG